RNAcentral lists this long non-coding RNA (2180 nucleotides) under Sus scrofa (pig). RNAcentral's name for it is "lncRNA (ENSSSCG00060070328.1)". The record is from RNAcentral. Lineage: Eukaryota; Metazoa; Chordata; Mammalia; Artiodactyla; Suidae.
GGAGGGCCCUGUGUCCCCUUUAGGAAUCGUCCUGGGGCGGGGGCGGAGGGUAGGAGGAGAUGCUGGAGGCAGGUGUUCAGACUUGGAAAGACCCAGACGCCGCUGGUCCCGGGCUGGCGGAGGAAAAGUGGGGCCAGAGGGGCAGGCAGGGGGUCAGAGCCCCAAGGCCUCUCCUGGGUUUCCUGCUCCGCAGGGAGCACCCCUACGGCAGAGGGUGGACACACUGAGAGAGAGAACCAGCCCAGCUCAGGAUGCAGCCUCGGGCCGCAGCGCAGGGAGCAGGCGGCGGGGGCAGCGCCGAGAGACACGUCCUGCCUGCAGGGGGCGCUCACAGGGCACCGGGCGCUGGUUCGCCGCUCAGGUGGCCAGCACAAAGGAGCAGCUGGACCAGGAAGGGCGGCAGCGGCGACACGACCACCUCGGCCAGACCCUUCCAACCAAGAAGUGAGCCCUGCUACCAACACUCAGGCAGUCUGGCCGCCACAGCCCUGACCAGCGGGCAGCAGAGCCACUGCUGAGAAAGCCGACGCCCUGUGCUGCUCGGCGGCCAGCCUCGAGGGGCACCGGGCUGACGCAGCCACGGCCCAGAGCCCACCCCUCACCCUGCAUGAUCCCCUGCAAGCAGUGUCCCCCCCGACCCGGCCCCCGGGACUCGGCCUCUGGCUGGCCUGGACUGCGCUUCGGGACACUGCUCUGGGACACGCCCUCCACAGCUGCACUGAGGCCCCUCGCAGCCCGCAACGGGCCUGGCACGGCUUCGGACCCUGGUGGCCAGGCCCCGUCAGGCCGGCUUCCGCAGCCUCCAGCUGUAUUCCGUGCCCUUAGCUCUGUAAACACGGGAAAACACGUGGAAACCAUUUCCACCACUGGAGCCAAAAACAUAAUGUCCUGCAAGGCCCGGCCACCACACCCCCACGCCCAGAGGCUGCAGGACCUUCCGUAUCCAGGAAGUGCAGGUCCGUCUCGGUGGCAGGUGGCUGGAAGUGACUCCGAAUCAAGCCCCUGUGGCUCGCGGGCCGUGAGAGGCCCUGGGGGUGAAGUCAAGGUUGGCGGAGGAGCACCCGCCUUCCCAGCCCCUAAACGCUGGGAAGGUUCCUUGGGAAUCCAGCCCCGGUCGCCGUGGAGACCACGGCAGCCAGGAACCCGUCACACCCUGGAGCGCCCACAACAGUCACGGUAAGCGGGGGCCCCAGUGCGUGAAGAUCCAUCCAGCACUUGGGGUUGAACCUGGUGACGGAGCUUCCAUUUGCUGUCAACUGUACAAAAGCGGAGGAGAAAGAGGCAGCCAGGCAGGCUGCAUUCUGCCUGUCGACCCUGCCCCAUCCCUGGUGGCCGUGUUGAAGAGAUUCUGAAGUUCAGUCCGGCCCAGAGGGAGGAGCCUGGUGGCCUAGCAGCGGCUGCUCCGGGCAAGGAGGCCUUGACGGUGGUGUGCGAAGCCUGGUGUUGGCCGUGGCCGUGGCCAGUCAGAGCGGGUAGCAAUCCAGCGGAGGACGGCAGGCCGGCCCUGGCUGGAGAGCACCGCACAGACGGGCAGGAAGGGCCCCGAUGUAACAGACGCCACCCGGGGCCUGGCAACGCUGACCGGUCCCAUCCCCUCCUCCCCCACCCCGCGGAGGAGGGACCUGGGGGGCAGGGGGUGGGGGGUGACGGGUGGGAGAGGAACCGGAAGCUGGAGACUGGAGUCUGGGGAGCGGGUUUCCGUCCUGGCACCUCAGUUGUCACACCUCUGGGACUGACGCUCCCAGCAGAGGCGGGGCGGGGGAAGAGCACGCGGAUGAGAGAGACACAGCGCUGAUGAGAAAGGGGGGUCGGAGUGGUUUCUGGACAUUGAAAUCAGAGCCCCCCACCCCAGUCUGGCGCGAUCCGGCCCCUCCUCACCCAGGCGGCCCCCAGGACACGUUCCAUGCCUGUGAAGCCUCUACGAUUUUUCUGUUUCAACCAAAGUUCAAUCAAUGUAGGCGGUACUAUUUUUACUCCUUCAACAUAAGGUUGAAUACUUAGAAAAAAGGACUUUUUUAAUGGAAAUUGGUGUUCUCUUAAGCAUUUCCAAGAGUGAGCACGUGUGAGAUGCUGAGGUGUGGAUGGCUGUGUCCCCUGAACCAGGGCCCCCGUCUCCGCCUCAGUGGCCCAGCUGCACCAAGGCCCAGCCGCUGGCCGUGUAGCGACCACACGGGGUGAGC